CUGUGCACGUCAGAGAAGGAAGACAGAGACCGCGCUUGUUUGAAAUCAAAAGGGGUCGCGGUAGCUUUUGAUGAAGAUUAUCAUCAAGACGAAGCAGCUGCAUUAUAAGUGGGAUGCACUGUUGACCGCAACAUCCCGAGGCGUUCGUGCUGAUUGUACGGAGAUUGUGACAGCGGGUUAAAUGGCGUCCCUUGAGAAAGCAAGAACAAGAGAUGUCAGGAGAAGUGCAGUAUUACAUAAGGAGAUGUAUACUUGGAAAAAUGGAUAUGGUUUGUUAAAGAAGAAUGGUAGAAAGUGUAAACUGAGUGAGCUGAAGACCGAAGGAGAAAUGGAAGUGUAUGAGGGUGAAGUAUUGGAGAUGGUAGGUGUGGUGAAGUUCUCGGAGCCUGAGGCUUGCACCGAGGGUCAGGAUAAAAAUGAGUCUGUGACAGUAGGAGUGCAGUUUUUGGAAAAAGAGGACCCCUGCCUUUUGGCUGAUCCAUUUGUGGUUUCAGGGUGGGUGAAAACAGAAUUGUGUACUGUGGAAUCGGUGAGGGUAACCAGAAGUGGUCUAGUGAUAAUUGUUUGUGUUUCUGCUGGUCAGAGGGAGAAGGCGCUCAGUGUUAAACGAAUGUGGGCAAGAAAUGUGAAUUGUUUCGCUCUCAAGAAAAGGGUGCCAUUGAAAAUAGUGGCUACUACGGUAGCAGUAAAUGUAAAAGUUGACAAAAUAAAGGGGAACAUUCUCGGUGUGUGUAAUGCUCGUCGCUGGGUGUGAUGCAGAAAGGGUGGUGAGAGUGGUGAAACAGAAGUCAUUGUCUGUUUUAAGUUUUGUUGUUUUUGCCCGACAAAGUGAUGUUAGGAUAUAUAAGUUAUCCUGUACGAGCUUUUGUACCGAAAACAUGACAUUGUUACAUGUCAAGUUUAUGGGCAUGUGGCAGCAGUGUGUAGGAGGGAGGGUCCAAGGUGUGACAAAUGUACAGAAGGGCAUGAGACAAAGGAAUGUGUAGCAUUGAGGAAAGUAGUGGAAUGUGUUAAUUGUAGGGGUACCCGUGGAGCUGGGGAUCAGAAAUGUCUGGUGCGAGAGGGGGUUGAGGUUUCCAGGGUUAGAGUAGUGCAGGAGUUGUCAUAUCCUGAUGCAGUGAAGGAAGUGGAGUGAUCCUGUGAGGAGUAGUGUGCAUGGUAGAUCUGUACCAUUACAGAGGGAUAGGCCAACAAGUGAUGUUUCAGUAAGAUUGGAUGUUUAGCAUUUAUAGCAAUGGUUAUCAACUGUACUGCAGGGAUGGAACAUAAGUCACAGUGCGUAUGAACAUACAGCGUUAACUAGGGAAUAUCAUUUCUCCAAGUCGGGACCACUGCAUUUUCUAGUGUAAUUUGGAGUUGUGUGCAGAAUUUUAAGAACCCCUUAAUUAGGCAAUCUAUUGGAAGUGUAAUGGUUGCUUCAUAGGUCUCUAAUCUCUUUUAAUGGUUUUAAUAUAAAAAGAUGUACAAAGACACACGCUUGAACUUUUACUUGAAAGCAUUUCACUUGAAAGCAUUUCACUGUGUUUAAUUUGUCACUCGGGAUGUUGGCUUACUUUAUUUGUGCAACGUUUAACAGUUGAUUAGUAUAUUUGUCAUUUCCACUUGACUAAGACUGAGCCUACUAUUAAAUGCAUUACAUUUUUCCACAGGUUCCCAUUUCAUGACAAGCCCAGGCUACAGCAGUGGGUAGCACCUGUCAGGCGGAUGAAUUGGAAACCAACCCAACACUCUUGUCUCUGCCCAUCACUUUGAAGAUCAGUGUUUUUGGGAUGAUGACAAGGGAAAGGUCAGCCUCACUGCUUCUGCUUGUGCCCAUUAUUUUCUCCCCUGGUUGUCUUCAAAAGUGGUCACAAUGCCCCAGGGAAAGAUCAAGGAAUACAGUAGGUACAGAGGGGGAGAGUCUCCGCCAAGAAUUUACGACCUGAGAUAACAGAACCUGGGUGUAGGAGUCAGAGGGGGAAGCCACGAUCUACACCCAGAAAGGGCCACAUGACAACUGUGAUGCUGGAUGUGCAUGAUGACACCAGUGGUGUGUCAGAUGUAGACCUACAUCACAAUGACAUAGCUGUGAUAGUGGAUGCCGGCUGCUGCUGAUUCUUUGCUUCUCACUAGGCGAUGUUGCCACACCUCAGCUGAGCAGAGGAUCCAAUAUGACAAACCAUGCAGUAAUUUCUCAAUGGUACAGCUUCUUGGUUAAAUACAAAGGUUCUCUUUCAUUUUCUCCUCUACAUUUGGAUUGACAAUGGUGCUUGUGUGCAUCUAAUAUAUUUUAUGAGCUUUGAUUAGAAGCAUAACCAAACGGCUUUAGAAGUAUAACACAGAAACUAUAGAUAACGUUAUCCAGAAAUCUUACAUACUGUUUUCUGAAAGUUAUUUUAAAACUGCAAAUCCCUAUCCUAAAGAAAAUUAUCCAACUUGUAACUUUGAUUUGGACUAUCGGUUUCUGUCAAAACACCCACACUGAUGAAAGUGAUAUUGUGGAAAGCCUAGAUAUGGAACCGCUUGGAUGAUAUCAGUCUUUGGGCAAGGCAUCAUGAAGUUAAAUCAUGUCCUCUGCCUCUCACUCCUCUGUCACUUCUCUCCUCUACACGUGGUCAUUGCUUCAGCACGUGGACAUUGCGGUCCUCCUGAUCAAGUUCAAAUGAAGUGUAUUCUCUGAUUCUCAACACAAGUAAAAGAGGUCUCAUACAGUGAGUAUACCAAACAUUAGGAAGAACUUCCUAAUAAGAAGAACAGCCUCAAUUCAUUGGGGCAUGGACUCUACAAGGUGUCAAGUGUUCCACAGGGAUGCUGGCCCAUGUUGAUGCCCAUGUUGAUGCCAAUGCUUCCCACAAUCCUUCUUUAACAUGUCUCCGCCCUUCCUCUACAAUGAUUGAAGUGGAAGGGCGGAGACAAGUGACAUCAAUAACGGAUCAUAACAUUCACCUGGUCGGUCAGUCUCAUGGAAAGAGCAAAUCAAAUUUAACAUGUCACAUGUGCCGAAUACAAAAUUUGUAGACGUUACCAUGAAAUGCUUACUUACAAGCCCUUAAACCAACAAUUCAGUUCAAGAAAGAGUUAAUAAAAUAUUUAAAUAAAGUAAAAAUAAUUCAAUCAAUCAAAAAGUAACACAACAAAUGUGUAUAACAAUAAUGAGGCUAUAUACAGGGGGUACCGGUACAGAGUCAAUGUGCCGGGAUACAGGUUAGGUGUUCUUAAUGUUUUGUAUACUUGUUUUGCUCAUAAUGGUAGCUGUAUGCAUGUGUUCUCUCUUUUCUAGUUGCACAACUAAGUUUCUGACUUACAAUGACAGUCUGCUCACUAUAAUUCCCAUCCAAUAUAUUUUUACAUGCAUGUCUGGGGAAACCCCUUAUCACCCAGUAACUCCUCCUUCAGGCUGAUGAUAUCCAUGCCCUGUUGGACACCUAUGUCCCCAGAUGCAGAGAAGAAGGAUCACCAGCUCAGCUCAUCACUGUCUAAUUUCUGGUGGGGAAAAUGGACAUUGCUCAACCUGCGCUUGAUUUGGCCCAUUUGCUACCCAGCCAAACAGAUUAACAUUUUAAUGCAUAAAUCCUUUAGCUUUUGCAUUGUAAAAUUGUGUGUCUCUUAAAAGCUGGCUGGUUAUUAAACAGUUUUAUAUCUUCUCAAUUAGUUAAGUUAUUACAUAUGAAAAGAAUAGCUGUGGAUUUUUCCACUAUUAUUGCUUUGUGACUCUCCGACCAAUCUCUAAUCAUAUCCUGUAGUCCUGUGAAGUGGAGUCCCCCCCCCCCCACCCCCCCCCCAUCAAUCCCUCAGGGGUCCAAUGUUAAGUCAAACUCCAAUCUCUUAUAAACUGUGCUGAACUGAUACAGUGAACCAGCUGAAGUCGGUAUGUAAACUGACACCAAUGGAGGUCUUGGCGCUAUUUGUGUAAAACAAGAAAGAAAACAAGUAGGCAGACAGUACAAGUCAACUUUAUUGAACUAUUUACAAAACAUAAGUAGGAGCAGAUUAGAAUAUCGUUUACAUCAGGAUGCACAACCUUCUACUUCUGUAAGGAGUUCAUUAUUUUGCCAUUCUUACUAUGUUGAAGCACUUGAUGAUUGUUUUUGAAUAACAGGACAGAAAUAAAGUACCUCAUGCUAAAAAGAGAAGUCAGAGAUCUCUUGGCAGGGGUUAGAAAGGAUAGACCCAGCAAAAUGUAUAUCUGUCAUAACUCACAAUGUCAGUGGCUCUGUAAAUACAUAAUGUUGUGACUUGUAGAAUCCUGGAGUUGGAAUAAUAUAUUACUUGUACAUAACGCUGCUUUUAUCAUACUGUCUCAUUUAGAAUGUGUAAAUGCAGCUUUACUGAUUAAUUGUCAAAUAAUAACGGCAUAACUUUUGCAAAAACUUAUUUCACCAACUUUUCAUUUUGUAACAAGUGGCAUGUUGUGUUGAGUAGAAAAUAUACAACUGCUAGGUCUCCUGAGGUGCACAUGUUGCGCUAACUAGAGCACGUAUGAUUUAGUCCUCAAUAAGUUACGUGCACACAACUGCAUACACAGAAUUACCUUUCAUGGUUGGAGUGGUUGUGGUGCCUGCAGAUUUCCCGUUCCCCAAUGGUGAUGGUGCAAAAGCAGAUUUCCCCUCCCGAAACUAGUUGCAGCCAUGCAGAUCCACGUCCCUGGCAACAUUGGCAGAGUGCCCAAAAACUAUACCGCACUGGUGGAGUGGAGUAGUCCUAGAAAAACUGGAACUAGCAAUAUGGCAGCAGCCACGAAAUGGUCGUUGCCACAAAGUCAGAAGGCAUACCUACUUGACCAAUCAGAUGAGGGAGUAUAAUGAUGUGUAUGCCAGCCCAGAAGGCUCGCCUACACGACCAAUCAGAUGAGGAAGUAUGAUUCCUACUCUAUGCCGGUUUGUGGGAAAUACCUACUUAUUGAGUUAAAAAAAAACAAAUCUCCCAUUCCACCUGAUUACAUAUGUGGCGUGCCACAUUCACCAUAUGAAUGGUGUGAUUGGUAAAAUGAUGUCCACCUUUUAAUGGGGUGAUUGUUGUCUAAUCUGGUGCCCAUUCAAUGGUGUUCUGUUUCAAGUUGCGGGACUUGUAAGAAUGCCACCUGGGGAAAGGCAGACAAACAAAAGACAAAGAGAAAUAUCCUGCUGAAAAAGGCAGUAAGUUCAAAGGCUGAUCACUGGAAUUUAAACCAUACACUUUUACAACAUCAAUUUUGAAUUCCCAACUAACAAUGGAAUGUUCCUCAAUAAAACCGUAAAAGCCUUGGUUUCAUGCCUGUUAA
Long non-coding RNA from Oncorhynchus masou masou (cherry salmon), 5239 nucleotides. RefSeq lists it as uncharacterized. The transcript has 3 exons. Lineage: Eukaryota; Metazoa; Chordata; Actinopteri; Salmoniformes; Salmonidae. The record is from RefSeq and is a predicted model, not a curated record.